AUACGGAGGAUCCGAGCGUUAUCCGGAUUUAUUGGGUUUAAAGGGUGCGCAGGCGGCCAUUUAAGUCAGCGGUUAAAUCGUGGGGCUCAACCCCAUUCUGCCGUUGAUACUGGGUGGCUUGAUUGCGGUCGAGGUUGGCGGAAUUCGUUGUGUAGCGGUGAAAUGCAUAGAUAUGACGAAGAACACCGAUUGCGUAGGCAGCUGACCAGACCGCAAAUGACGCUCAUGCACGAAAGUGCGGGGAUCGAACAGGAUUAGAUACCCUGGUAGUCCGCACAGUAAACGAUGAAUACUUGUUUUCGGCGAUAUAAUGUCGGGGCAAAGCGAAAGCGAUAAGUAUUCCACCUGGGGAGUACGCCGGCAACGGUGAAACUCAAAUGAAUUGACGGGG
RNAcentral lists this ribosomal RNA (391 nucleotides) under uncultured bacterium. RNAcentral describes it as "partial 16S ribosomal RNA". It matches the Rfam family "Bacterial small subunit ribosomal RNA", at positions 523 to 918 of the family's 1533-position model. The record is from RNAcentral.